AGUGAACGCUGGCGGUAGGCCUAACACAUGCAAGUCGAACGGCAGCACAGUAAGAGCUUGCUCUUACGGGUGGCGAGUGGCGGACGGGUGAGGAAUACAUCGGAAUCUACUUUUUCGUGGGGGAUAACGUAGGGAAACUUACGCUAAUACCGCAUACGACCUACGGGUGAAAGCAGGGGAUCUUCGGACCUUGCGCGAUUGAAUGAGCCGAUGUCGGAUUAGCUAGUUGGCGGGGUAAAGGCCCACCAAGGCGACGAUCCGUGGCUGGUCUGAGAGGAUGAUCAGCCACACUGGAACUGGGACACGGUCCAGACUCCUACGGGAGGCAGCAGUGGGGAAUAUUGGACAAUGGGCGCAAGCCUGAUCCAGCCAUACCGCGUGGGUGAAGAAGGCCUUCGGGUUGUAAAGCCCUUUUGUUGGGAAAGAAAAGCAGCAGGUUAAUACCCCGCUGUUCUGACGGUACCCAAAGAAUAAGCACCGGCUAACUUCGUG
RNAcentral lists this ribosomal RNA (492 nucleotides) under uncultured bacterium. RNAcentral describes it as "partial 16S ribosomal RNA". It matches the Rfam family "Bacterial small subunit ribosomal RNA", at positions 29 to 507 of the family's 1533-position model. The record is from RNAcentral.